Molecule: non-coding RNA, 23 nt
Filed under: Arabidopsis thaliana (thale cress)
Lineage: Eukaryota; Viridiplantae; Streptophyta; Magnoliopsida; Brassicales; Brassicaceae
Source: RNAcentral
GAAUGACAACUCUCAAUAAAUGC